CUCAUGGUUUCACGGUAUUGCAAUGAGAACAAUUUAAAACCCUUAGCGAGAAUCAAGUGGAGGACAAGUCUGGUGCCAGCACCCGCGGUAAUUUCAGCUCCACUAGCGUAUAUUAAAGUUGUUGCAGUUAAAAAGCUCGUAGUUGAACCUCUGUCUGGGGCUAGUUUUGGCUUUGGUCAGGCUAGUUCUAGGCAUCCGCCUACAAGACUUAGAGGGCAUUCAGUUGUUCACUAGGAGGAGUAGGCAUUUUACUUUGAAAAAAUUAGAGUGUUUAAGGCAGGCAAUCGCCCGCAUAUAUUAGCAUGGAAUAAUAGAAUAGGACACUUUUCCAUUUCGUUGGUUAUUGGAAUCGUGUAAUGAUUAAUAGGGACAGUUGUGGGCAUUUGUAUUUAAUUGUCAGAGGUGAAAUUCUUGGAUUUAUUAAAGACAAACUAACGCGAAAGCAUUUGCCAAGGAUGUUUUCAUUAAUCAAGAACGAAAGUUAGGGGAUCAAAGACGAUCAGAUACCGUCCUAGUCUUAACUAUAAACUAUUCCGACUCAAUGUUUGACUGGCUUAUAUAACCAGUUGAGCGUUGUAUGAGAAAUCAAAGUCUUUAGGUUCUGGGGGGAGUAUGGUUGCAAAGCUGAAACUUAAAGGAAUUGACGGAAGAGCACAACCAGGAGUGGAUUCUGCGGCUUAAUUUGACUCAACACGGGGAAACUUACCAGGUUAAAACAAUAGUGGGAUUGACAGUUUGAGAGCGCUUUCUUGAUUGGUUGGGUGGUGGUGCAUGGCCGUUCUUAGUUGGUGGAGUGAUUUGUCUGCUUAAUUGCGUUAACGAACGAGACCUUAACCUGCUUACUAGACUGGCGAUCAUCAAUCGUUAGCUCUUCUUAGAGGGACUUUGGUUGUUUUAACUCCAAGGAAGUUUGAGGCAAUAACAGGUCUGUGAUGCCCUUAGAUAUCCUGGGCCGCACGCGUCAUACAAUGACUAGUUCAGAAAGUUUUCUCCUGACCCGAAAGGGGAUGGGUAAUCUUGAUAAUACUAGUCGUGUUAGGGAUCGAUCUUUGCAAUUAUAGAUCUUGAACGAGGAAUUCCUAGUAAGUGCGGUUCAUCAGACCGUACUGAUUACGUCCCUGCUCUUUGUACACACCGCCCGUCGCUUCUACCGAGUGGGUGGUCCGGUGAGAUAAUUGAACUUCGCAGGUAACUGAGAGGAAAGAUUAUCAAACCUAUCCACCU
RNAcentral lists this ribosomal RNA (1224 nucleotides) under metagenome. RNAcentral's name for it is "SSU rRNA". It matches the Rfam family "Eukaryotic small subunit ribosomal RNA", at positions 493 to 1774 of the family's 1831-position model. The record is from RNAcentral.